GACGAACGCUGGCGGCGUGCUUAACACAUGCAAGUCGAACGGAAAGGCCCUGCUUGCAGGGUACUCGAGUGGCGAACGGGUGAGUAACACGUGGGUGAUCUGCCCGGCACUUGGGGUUAAGCCGGGGAAACUGGUUCUAUUACCGGUUAGGAGCCUUUUUUGGUGGGUGGGUUGGAAAGUUUUUUCGGUGUAGGUUGAGCUCGCGGCCUAUCAGCUUGUUGGUGGGGUAAUGGCCUACCAAGGCGGCGACGGGUAGCCGGCCUGAGAGGGUGGACGGCCACAUUGGGACUGAGAUACGGCCCAGACUCCUACGGGAGGCAGCAGUGGGGAAUAUUGCACAAUGGGCGCAAGCCUGAUGCAGCGACGCCGCGUGGGGGAUGACGGCCUUCGGGUUGUAAACUCCUUUCGCUAGGGACGAAGCUUUUUGUGACGGUACCUAGAUAAGAAGCACCGGCUAACUACGUG
Molecule: ribosomal RNA, 465 nt
Filed under: uncultured bacterium
Lineage: Bacteria
Description: partial 16S ribosomal RNA
Rfam family: Bacterial small subunit ribosomal RNA
Source: RNAcentral